Molecule: non-coding RNA, 120 nt
Organism: Hydra vulgaris (swiftwater hydra)
Lineage: Eukaryota; Metazoa; Cnidaria; Hydrozoa; Anthoathecata; Hydridae
Source: RefSeq, a predicted model, not a curated record
UCUAUUUAGACGUAGGUGAUAAUAUUGAAACAAUGUCUGGUGGAAGUAUAGCUGGUAGGGCUGUGUUUUAUAUUUUAUAUGUUUUGUAUGGAGAAAUAUGUGCAAUAGGUGGAAAAAUUA